Hibiscus syriacus is the source of this 221-nucleotide small nucleolar RNA. RefSeq annotates it as small nucleolar RNA U3. Lineage: Eukaryota; Viridiplantae; Streptophyta; Magnoliopsida; Malvales; Malvaceae. The transcript has a single exon. The record is from RefSeq and is a predicted model, not a curated record.
AUGAUCUUACUUGAACAGGAUCUGUUCUAUAGGCUCGUACCUCUGUGUCCUUGUGUUUCUAAAGAGACAGAAUUCUAAGUCAGGUUCAUAAAUCGAGGCUGUGUGAUCAGAGCGUGAUUAUUUGUCUGCAGUCCAUGCAUAUAGGGACUGCAUUGGCCACAGAGGAUCGCUCUCUGCUUGCCUUGUCUUGCUGGGAUGGUCACGCAGUUGUCUGACAGACU